AGGGAUUGCCCUAGUAACGGCGAGUGAAGCGGCAACAGCUCAAAUUUGAAAUCUGGCUUCCUUUGGGAGUCCGAGUUGUAAUUUGCAGAGGGCGCUUUGGCGUCGGCAGCGGUCUAAGUUCCUUGGAACAGGACGUCACAGAGGGUGAGAAUCCCGUACGUGGUCGCCUGCCUUCGCCGUGUAAAGCCCCUUCGACGAGUCGAGUUGUUUGGGAAUGCAGCUCUAAAUGGGAGGUAAAUUUCUUCUAAAGCUAAAUACUGGCCAGAGACCGAUAGCGCACAAGUAGAGUGAUCGAAAGAUGAAAAGCACUUUGGAAAGAGAGUCAAACAGCACGUGAAAUUGUUGAAAGGGAAGCGCUUGCCGCCAGACUUGCCCGUGGUGGUUCUCCUCCUCGGGCAGGCCAGCAUCAGUUUGGGCGAUCGGAUAAUGGCCUCUGUCAUGUAUCUUCCUUCGGGAUGACCUUAUAGGGGAGUCGUAGUACGGUCAGCCCGGACUGAGGUCCGCGCAUUUGCUAGGAUGCUGGCGUAAUGGCUGCAAGCGGCCCGUCUUGAAACACGGACCAAGGAGUCUAACAUCUAUGCGAGUGUUUGGGUGUCAAGCCCGAGCGCGCAAUGAAAGUGAACGGAGGUGGGAACCCUCUCUGGGGGUGCACCAUCGACCGAUCCUGAAGUCUUCGGAUGGAUUUGAGUAAGAGCAUGGCUGUUGGGACCCGAAAGAUGGUGAACUAUGCUUGAAUAGGGUGAAGCCAGAGGAAACUCUGGUGGAGGCUCGCAGCGGUUCUGACGUGCAAAUCGAUCGUCAAAUUUGGGCAUAGGGGCGAAAGACUAAUCGAAC
Molecule: ribosomal RNA, 834 nt
Filed under: Dictyocheirospora nabanheensis
Lineage: Eukaryota; Fungi; Ascomycota; Dothideomycetes; Pleosporales; Dictyosporiaceae
Description: partial large subunit ribosomal RNA
Rfam family: Eukaryotic large subunit ribosomal RNA
Source: RNAcentral